RNAcentral lists this long non-coding RNA (1208 nucleotides) under Lathyrus oleraceus (garden pea). RNAcentral's name for it is "Pisum sativum (pea) long non-coding RNA (PSAT_LNC017486)". Lineage: Eukaryota; Viridiplantae; Streptophyta; Magnoliopsida; Fabales; Fabaceae. The record is from RNAcentral.
UAUACAUACACACACUCAAUACAAUAGUAAUUCACAAUAUAAUUCAUAUCACACAUAGAGCAUAAAUUAUAAUACAAUGUGAUACAAAACCAUAAGCAAAGCAAUCACACAAUUUGCCUCAAUCUAUCUUAUUCCACUUCCACGUCAUAUGGUAAACAUUUGUCCAAUUAUAUUAUGUCGAGAAAUAACUAAACAAAAAUGGAAUAACUCAUAGAUACUUAUCUCUAUAUCAUAUUCCUCUUUGUUAGCUUCCUAACACAUCCAUUCUCGUAUCAAUUGGAGUUCCUGUUCCCGUUUUAUGAUGGAAAUAGGGAAACAACUCAUAAACAUACAAAAUAAUGUAAUACUAACAACUAAGUUAUAAUUUAAUUAUAAACAUGAUUUUAUCUCACCAAGCAAUAAAGCAUUGAACUAGCUUUCCAACGCAUCUGAUCAGGCCUCAUUCCGAGUUACGAUACUCAUUUUAGAGUGAAAACAGGGGAGCUGGUCGAUUGCUGUCAUGGCCCAAUCGAUGUGAUUGAGGUUCUGUCAGAUUUUUCACUAAAUUUUAAUGGACCAAUCGAUUGGGGUCCAAGAUCAAUCGAUUGUUACUGGGGAAAAAUAAAAUUUUCUUCCUUUAAAGACAAACCAAUCGAUUGUUUGACAGAAGUUUCCAGAACCAAUUGAUUGGUUCAUCACUUUUCUUCACAAAUACAUGUUCUAAACACUUUAUUUCCCAAUUUUAAUCACACUAAUCCAUUCUAAAAUAUAUGCUAUGAUAAACUCACACAAAUCAAGAGAUUGUGAGGUACAAUUUCAUAGAACAACACAUAUGGACAAACAUGGAAUCUAAGACAACAACAACAUAUGAACAAGAGCAUCAUGUUAUGAUCAACAAUAACAUGAUUCACAAAACCAUGACUAGAUCUUUGAAACCCUAAGAGUUUCUAAAUCCCCCCAAAGUUCUAACUAAGAACUCACAAAAGAAUAUAAAAUUGAGAUGUAAUUGUUGAUGAUGAUAUGGUGGAGAUGAAGAUUCAUGGCUUUCUUCUUUCUCCAAGCUCGUCUUCCUUUCUUUUUUCUUGUCUUCUUUCCUUCAUUUCUUUUCCUUCUCUUUUUCAUUUUCCUGAUAACCCUCUUUCUCUCUUCUUCUGUUCUUAUCCUCUUUUCUUACCAACUUCUCCUCUUUUCUUUUUCUUCUUAUUCUCAUCCACUCAUUCUUCUUUCUU